UAUAAGGCUAUGAAAGAGAGGAGUAAGUGUAUACUGGCUAAAGAGAGGGAUAUCCCAUGGGCUGAAAGGAUUCCCGCCAAAGGUACACUGAAGGUAGCUCUGGAGCCUGUAAACCGAAGUUCAGUAGGUUUAAACGGGUCUGCCCGUUAUAGCUUGAGUGAUAAAUAAAGGUGGUACCGCGAAAUGCCCUUUCGCCCUUUGU
This is a non-coding RNA of 202 nucleotides. It matches the Rfam family "T-box leader". Rfam says of the family: Uncharged tRNA acts as the effector for transcription antitermination of genes in the T-box leader family.